This 1036-nucleotide long non-coding RNA is filed under the name Gallus gallus (chicken). RNAcentral's name for it is "lncRNA (ENSGALG00010028238.1)". Lineage: Eukaryota; Metazoa; Chordata; Aves; Galliformes; Phasianidae. The record is from RNAcentral.
CAAGAACGUUGCUUUCCACGGCCUAUGUCCCCAUGACAUACCUAGCCAUGCCCUCCCCCUGCCCCUCGCACAGCCCGCACUGGGCUGCCAGCCCAUCACCUGCAGCUGCCCUGGUGGGGCCGCAGCUGCAAGCGGGGCAGUGCGGGGCUGCUGGGGCUGCCAGGGAGGCGGCUGCAGCACGAGUACCUUCCUGUGAGCAGAAGGCGCGUCUUCUUCUCCGUGAUGCUCUGCUGGCAGGACGGGUCUCUGCAGAGCUGCUGUUCUUCUGCUGGUGAUGGAGCAGCAUCAGGCGUUGGUCUUCAUCGUACUGAGGGGAGAGUGGUGUCCCAGGACCCAAUGGCUCAUCUGAAACAGAGACAAAGUUCUUUUCAGCAACUUUCACUAUUGCAGUCUAUAAAUUAACUAUCUCCCAGUCACCCAUCUUUCUAUCCUGCAUCCCCCUAUCAGCUAUCUGGCUAUGAUCUAACUACAUUGCUACUAACUCUUGCUUGCUGCUAACUACCUUGCUAUCCACAAACUACCUCUCUACCAAUAACCCACCUAGCUAUCUGCUAUCUGUUCGCUACCUGUAUACAACCAUCAGCUAUCAACGUCGCUAUCAACUAAUCUACGUCGCUAUCAACUAAUCUACGUCGCUAUCAACUAUCAUCAUACCCUCUUACUAUCUAUACAACAACUAUCUCUAUAUCCUCUUCUUCAUCAUCUGCUUCUACUGGCCCCUGAUCCCUCCCGGGGCUGCUCUCCUCCCGUCCCUCACACUGCCCGCUCUGGGCUGCCAGCCCGUGAUCUCCCUGCUGGUAGGCGGGGCUGCUGGGGGCUGCUGGCGGCUGAGAAGGAAGCCGGGGGCUGCAGCACGGCCAGAGGGGCUGCCAAAAAAUCCGGGGGCUGCAGCACGGCCAGAGGAGGGGCUGCCAAGGAAGGUGGGGGCUGCAGCACGGCCAGAGGAGCUGCAGCCACCACCGGCCCCAGCAGCACGGGCACUGCCAGCCAGGGGUGGCAAGGGCAGGCAGGGCGGCCCAGGGAGCCCGCAGCGGCG